Molecule: ribosomal RNA, 253 nt
Filed under: uncultured bacterium
Lineage: Bacteria
Description: partial 16S ribosomal RNA
Rfam family: Bacterial small subunit ribosomal RNA
Source: RNAcentral
UACGUAGGGGGCAAGCGUUGUCCGGAUUUAUUGGGCGUAAAGAGCGUGUAGGCGGCCAGGGAGGUCCGUUGUGAAAACUCGAGGCUCAACCUCGAGACGCCGAUGGAAACCGUCUGGCUAGAGUCCGGAAGAGGAGAGUGGAAUUCCCGGUGUAGCGGUGAAAUGCGCAGAUAUCAGGAGGAACACCGGUGGCGAAGGCGGUUCUCUGGGCCUGUACUGACGCUGAGGAACGAAAGCGUGGGGAGCGAACAGG